CCUGACAGGCCAGCUCCUGUAAAUAUAUAUUUGGAGAGCCUAUCCCCACAGCUACACACACUAUCCAGGGUUUAAGGGCUCCAUCCACAACACAUUACUACUGUACACGUAGAUUUUUUGUUUUCAGGGCUGGUGUGAGGGGAGCAGCACAGAUCCCACAUCAUUUAUUUCAUCUACGAUGAUGACAUUCCUCCAGCUGCUAGUAGAAAGAAAUAUGUCUCUGUCUAAAGUCAAAACGUAUGCUGCUGCCAUCUCAUCCCGCCAUGAGAGCUAAAAGAGUAGGUGAUUUAUGUGCACUCGCUGGCUCCCCAUCUUGCCUUGUUAUCAAAGAUGAUGGGGGCACAGCAACUUUCAGACAAAAUCCUGCCUUCAUGCCUAAAAUUAUAACGUCAUCCUUCAGAUCUAGAGUGAUUUCCUUGGAGGGAUUUUUUUUCCUCCUCCUCACAGUAACAAGAUGGAGGAAGCGUGUCAUCGCCUCUGCCUGGUGCGCGUCUCAUUAUGUGGUGCGCACAGAAGCCCUCAGACAGGCCCAGCAGCUGUUUGUGCAUUACAGAGAAAACUUCUCAGGGGAAGCCUCUGACUAAACAUCAGCUGUCUCCCUGGUUUUGCGAAACCAUCAUUCAGGCUUAUGUUGCAGCAGAGAAGGACCUCUCGCAUGACGUUGGCACUCACUCCACGAGAGGUGUUUCCUCCUCCGCUGCUCUUUUUAAUGGAAUUGCAGUAGAGGAUAUCUAUGCAGCUGCAUUGUGUCCCUGAAUCGUUUCAUCCGCUUUAACUUAUGGGACAGAGUGUCCCAUAACUCACUCUGUUGAAUGUGCUGUUGUCUCUCAGCCUUUUAUGGACAAACAUCCAUCACUGUACAGAGCUCCAUGUGGCGCAUUUGCUGCUACGUUAUAUCUCUACUAGCCUAUUUGUACAUGCCUCGGUACUUUUAAUGUGUAAGUGUCUCUCUGCCAUUCCAGCAUAAGCUUGUGUGAGAAUCGGCCAGCUGUAGCAUUGCAACAUAGCAAUGUAGCAUUAACACCGCCAAGGUUAUGGGUUUGAUGUCCAAAUAUUAUUUUGCACACUCCACAUGCAACAUCAGCCCAAUGAGGAUCUUUCUGCAUUUCUGUUUUGCUCUUUUCCCUUUUCACACGAACAGGCAUGAAAUGUGAUUGAAAGAUGUUAUCGCCCUGACUAAUCAGACAGAGCUUAGUAAAACGGAGAGGAAUAUCCUCAUUAUUCUUAUCGGUUGAGUACCACUUGUGGUGAUUGCCUAUACACGCCUAUACAAAUAGAAUCUGGGGUUACGUACUGUAACAAAUGUUCUCCCAUCAUUAACUGAAAUAAGCUGACACUAACCCACCAGUGUAUAUAAUUGAAAGUAGUUUGCUUUUAAAGUGGCUGCCACUUUGAUAAACUUAAAGGGGACAUAUUAUGCUAAGACUACCUUUUCAGCCCUUUUGCACACAUUUUUGGGUAUGUGGGGUGCCUGCCGGCCCACAAAAAGUGAAAAAGAAACACAAAGUCGUAUUUAAGUGGACUGGCUUAACCUUUCAGACGGGCUCUGAACGAGCCAGUCACAACUCGGGCAUCCUGUUACGAAACAUGAAGCUUCUCCUGGGGUAGCCACGCCCCCAACCUGAGAAUCUCCGCCCCUGAACUCCGAGACACCGGAGCACAGAGACGCCAUUGUUUUCUCUCAGCAAGCGACGGACGGAGCGGUAGAAUAAUGCCGAAAAGAGUUAGUAACGUUUGCCUGUUGUUGGCUGUACAGACCAAUAUAAACCUGUACAUGGACUCCCAGCCUCAGAGGACACACAAGCAGGUGGAUUGACUUCAUUUUUGAUGGAAAUGUUCCACAGUCGGUGAAAAGCUGCGAGUGUGUGAACAACUUUGUGUCGGAUUGUUCUUCAAGUCUGGGCCAGUGCAACACUGGACUGGAAGAAAAAAAUUUUUUGCAAGAUGGAGCAAUUCCAACCGUCCGAGGCGAAGCUACAGAGGAGAGACAUAGUACAUCACACUAAUCGGCAACACUCAUGUUCCACCGUUUAAAGAACCAUGUAUAUUGGAGUGCAUUCUCUUCAACCUCAGGGCCUGAGAAGGUGGCCAAGUGGACCUUACUGUUUAACAACAUUCAAAACAUCCCUGGGCAUGAAGACCCCCUCUUCCCCAAAGACAAAGAAGGGUGAAGCCACCACAAAGCCUGUUAAAACAGAACCCACAUUCAAUUAUGUGGGUGACUUGAUGAGGAUGGUGUUUGGGGACCCCUGUGGAGUAGAUGAAAAAAUCGCCACCCCCAAGGAUCUGUCAUCCCAAUAUGACAGGCCGUCGAAGGAGGAAAUGGUUGCUCGCCACGUCAGGCUUCAGUCAAGGGGCGGUCGGAAGCCAACAUACUGGUCAGCUGGAUCCGGAAACUCCUGGCGGAUCUGGAGGAUGACGCGAUGACGACCCUUUUGUGGCGUCCCACAGCACCAACUGCGAGAAAAACAAUGAGCAAUAUUGCGGUUGCAAAUUUCCUCUACUGAACAAAAAAAAAUCAAAAAUCUGCUAAACACAGAUUUUUUUGUAACCACAUUAAAGUGGUCACAUUUAACAACUUGAAACCAGUGUGCUGACAGCGAGACCCCUCACUUAACUCCCACAGCUCAUGCAAAUACACAUUACACUGUAUUCUCACACACACACACACACACACACAAACACACACCCAGACAAACACACUGCUUUAUGCAUUAAAAGCUUUGCUCAUUUUCCCAUCACAAUAUCCGCCCCUAAACCCCUGUCCUCCCCCACAUGGCUCUUCUCAGAUAUUUAAGUGGCACAGGAGCAAGGGGCAGAGGGAUGUAAGUGGUCAUGAUCGAGACAGCACCUUCUUAAGAAAGAAAAAAAAGAGAGUAGGUCUCAUGUUUAAUUCAUGCAAUGUCUCCAUCAAACUUGCAGCAGAUCAUUUCACUCCACCACUGUGUCUUUCUUUACUCCGCCGUUGAUAGCUCUGCUAUUAUACACCAUACACACAUCCCCCACACAAGAACACACACACACACACACAAAAACUCAAGCCUUUUAUUCCUGAUUGAUUAGAUGUCCCCCUACUGCUUUUCGGCCUUGUUGUUUGUUGUGGUUUCUCAUUGCUGCAUUAUGUUGUGUAUGUUCUUCUCACACAAAUACUGCACCAGCAAUAUUAGUAUGUUGAAUUCUGAUCACAGAUGCAGAAAAAAGAUCGCAGGGCUUCUAUUUUUAAAAUGAGUGGAACUCGCAUUAAAUAGCAGUGUAAUGUGACAAUGUAUAUAUCUGCUCUAUAAAUGAGAGAAACCAAAAGGGAGACCUUUACUGUAUAGCAGGGGCGGGGAAACUAAAAACUAAAGCUUCUUGGAUGAGAGAUGAAAGGUCUUCAAGGAUCUACAACAAUCUUCCAGAUGCUCAACUUUUGUUGGAUAACCAUGACCUGUAUCACUGACAAUCUUAAACCAUGGUUGAUCAUAGAGAUGGUAUUAGCCAGAUGAUGAGCAGUGUCAAGCACUGUUCACCUUACAGUGUAGGAGGUCUUCCAAAAAUAUUUAAAAAAAUAACAGUUUUUGUCUCAUCAGACCAGAGAACAAUUUUCCUCAUUCUCUGAGAAUCCUAUGCUGUUUGGCACACUCCAAGUAGACUGCCUUUUGCUCAAAGUGGCUUCGAUCUAGUCACUCUAUGAACAUCAUUCCGACAGGUUCUUCCACCCCCCUUACAUUGGCUGAAAAGCCGACUCAAAGUCUUGGUGGUUCCAAACAUCUUUCAUUUCCCCAUUAUUGAAGUCACUGUGUUCCUGAGAACACUCAUAUCUAUCCAAAAUGAUCUAAAGUGUUCCUUGAACUUAGCUGCUUGGGUUUUGUCCUGACAUGCAGUGUGAAUUUUGAAACCUUACUGUAUAGAACAGUGGUUCUCAAACUGUGGUACGCGUACCCCUGGUGGUACGUGGGCUCUCUCUAGGGGUACGCGGAGGUAUCUCCGAAAUCUCCAGCUCAUAACAAAAUUACCGUGUACAUCCGGGUUUUUUACACACGCGGGCCGCGUUUUAUCGGCAUUUGGCCACUUCACACAGCAGCAGACCGGGGUCUGACGAUCGGCACCAGACGCGGUGCACGGCGGAAAUAGGUGGAAGUAAAGAGGUGUGCUGCGCGCCAUAAAACCAAAGCUGUGAAGUUUGUGUGAGAGAAUAGGAAGGUUGCCUCUGCGCUGUGUGUACAGAGCUGCAGCCGCUGUGAGAAGGGAGAGACGCAUGAUGAGUCCGUGUAUGUGGCCGCAGUGUUGAAAUAAAGUGCAGCGUUCAUUUUGCCUUAUCGUUGAUCUGGAUUCAACGAGCGCAAAUUACCGCGUUCAACCGGGUGUGGCAGCGUCAACUCCGAACGGAGCCGAUCGGAGUUGACGCCGCUUAAACCCGGGUCUAUUGCAGAGUCAUUUGCCCCGGGGCUGAAUGCCGAUUAAACUUUUUCACACUGUGGAAUACGCCGGGUGUUAGCGGGUUUAAACAGGUUUUUGGGGCCAGUGUGAAAGGGGAUUUAAAUACAAUUAAUUUUACGUAAAAUACUAUCAAAAUACUACGGUCCGCCUGCUACGUAGUAGUGCGCGCCAAACCGUUACACGGUGAAGAAAAGGUGGGAAGCUGAUGAAGUUAAAAACAAUUCAAAAGCAAUGCAGUCGUGGCUCCAAACGGGAUCUCUUCGAAAAAUAAGUCUAGAUCAGGAGGUUAACAAUGUCACGACAGAAAUGGCAGUGGAUCACAGUGACCACAGCGGCAUCCCUGAAGUAGCGACGAAACGGCGAAAAGUGAGAAAAUAUGACACCGGUUACAUCAAACUUGGAUUUAGCUGGACUGGAACGGAGGAAGAGCCCAGGACUGUGUGUGGUAUGUGGUGAUGUUUUGGGUAAUGAGAGCAUGAAACCAUCACAUCUCAAACGGCAUCUCACCACCAAACAAGCAGUGCUGACAGAAAAACCGGUUGAUUUUUUUUAAGAAAGCGGGACGAACUGAAGCAGUCCAAGUCCACUAUUCAAUCCUGUGUUACACCCGUAACCAAGGCACAGGAAGCCUCAUUUUGUGCCAGUCUCCGCAUAGCGAAGGCGGUAAGCCACACACAAUUGGCGAACAACUGUGUCUCCUGUUAGCCAAAGAAAUGACACGUAUCAUGUGCGGGGAGAAGGCUGCCAAACAGUUAAACUUGGUGCCACUUGUAAACGACACAGUGUAGGAGCCAUGGUAGAUGACGUUAAAAACACUCUGAUUGAGCACAUUAAAGGCAGUCGCUAUUUUUCCAUCCAGCUCGACUAGACUACUGAUGUCGCAGAUUUGGCCAAUUUGCUUGUGUAUGUGAGAUAUGAACAUAAUAGUGCAUUUCAGGACUAUCAAUCACUGGAAAUCAGAACAACAGCCGAGCACAUAUUCCUACCCCUGAACGCGUUUGUCAAAGAGAAUGGGCUCGAUUGGAAGAAGUGUAUCGGGGUCUGCACAGACGGCGCGAGGCCUAUGACAGGUCGCCACAGUGGAGUAGCAGCUCGAAUCCGCCAGGUGGCACCUGACGUGCAAUGGACUCACUCAAACAGUGAACUUCAUUAAGGCCCGUGAUGAGAUAGGCAGCGAGCAUGUAUGAUCUUGCUUCAUACAGAGGUAAGGUGGUUGUCAAGAGGAAAGGUGCUUUCAAGGCUGUUUGAAUUGCACAGAGAUCCAAAUAUUCCUACAGGACAAAGACUUUCCCUUAUCAGAUGUGUUUGAAGAUACUGUGUGGCUUUCAACUGACAUACAUGUCUGACAUCUUCUCUUGUUUGAACGAACUCAAUCUGGGUCUACAGGGACUCUCCAUCAAUGCUUUUGAUGUGCAGGACAAAAUCAACGCACUGCUGAAAAAGAUGGAGCUGUUUGAAAUGAAAGUCAAGGCAGGUGAUUUUUCAGCGUUCCCCACUUUGGGAGUUUGAGUUUGAGUUUUCUGUCUGACAAUGACCUGACCCUUGAUGAUGGAGUGAGGGACAACAUUGAUCUGCCCCUCGUCUCACUCAGACAGCAAUUCUGUGAAUAUUUCCCAGUGAGGGCCGACAUGAAUGACUGUAUGAGAAACCCAUUUGACAUGAAAAUAUCUGAAAUGCCCAAGAACUUCACUGUUGGUGAGCAGGAAAGUUUAAUUGAGCUGUCUUGCGACCAGACACUGAAGUCUGCCUUCAGAAAACAGUAUUUGUUGGACUUUUAGGUACAGCAACACAGGGAAUACCCUGCACUGUCAGACAAGGCCGUGCGCUCUCUCCUUCCUUUUGUGACCACGUAUCUGUGAGAAAGGCUUCUCUUCACUUGCCCUCAUAAAAACAAAAUACAGAAGCAGGAUGGAUGCUGAGCCGGACCUGAGACUGAAGCUGACCUCAAUUGAGCCAGAUAUCGCAGGACUGUGUACACAGAGGCAGGCACACCCUUCUCAUUAGUGUGUGUGUGUGUGUGUGUGAGAGAGAGCGAGAGAGAAAAUAAGUUUCAUCGUGCUGUUUCUUGCUGUGAUCACUGCACACAGGUAUAUUGCAUUAAUGUUCUCACUUGCUGCCGCCCUUUGUAUGUGUGUGUAUGUGUUUGAAUGAAAUGUGAUUUUACAUUGACAUACAGUUCUUAUUUGUUAAUUGUUAUUGUUCUUUUGUGGAGGAGUAAUGUGAGAUUUUGGGCCCAGAAAAGUAAGAUAUAUUUUUCUGUGCUCAAAAUCUCCCAUUGCUACACAAAUGGGGCACAAAUAUCACACCAUGGUUUAAGUGCCAGUUCUAGUGCUACUCUUUUGCACAGUGUGAUUUUGGCUGACAAGUGAACAAAAAAAAAUAUUCCUAUUGUGAAGAACUUUGACUCCUGUUUGAACUACGUUCAGCCGAAUAGGGUGACCUUAUUCUACUAACUUCUGUAUUUUUUACAUGGGUCAUGAUGGUGGUACUUUGAGAGCCAGAUAUUUUCUGAGGUGGUACAGUGUGUAAAAAGAUUGAGAAACACUGGUAUAGAAUGUAUAUCUUAACUAUUUCUUAUCACUUCUUUUGCCACAGUUGGACUGCAUCAGUUUUACACUCACUCAGCAGUCAUGGACUGUGGUGGAAAAGUCAAAAGAAAUUCUCCUUUCCUAACCACUAUUCAUUAACCCCCAUUCAUUAAUGACAUUCAUUAAUGACAAACUCCGUAAGAAAAUAUAUCAAUAUGCUACAUGAAAACUAUCAAUAAUUGGUAUGAUGUUACAACAAAGCAGAUUUUCAAAAGAAAUAUAUAUAUACAGUAUAUAUAUAUAUAUAUAUAUAUGCAUGGGGACAUUUUACGUUUUCUAUUAAGCACAUUCUAUUUAUUACAUUCCACAAUUAUUAAGAUGAAGAAUUAAGAAGAUUUGUAUAUGUUUUAUGUUAUGAUGAUCAUAUUGUGAACGAUUAGGUCAAUAUGCUUGUUCUUAAACAUGAAUCCUGACUGGACAUAUGUAUAGAAUAAAUCUAUAUUCAUGGAUUUGGAGCACACUUUUGUGGCCUAUUAGUUAUCCCCAACUAUGACUGACAGUAUAUAGGACAGGUUUUUCAAGAUAUUGUUUUAUAGUAGAGGACAGAAAAAAGACCUAUUGGGAUGUUAUAGAAUGUUGAAUAAUUUAGUUUAAGGUGCACUGUUUUUGUUCAAGUUCUUCAACCAGGUCUUGGUUAUUUUUUUCAUGUCUAAUUUUGGUCCCAUUACUUUUGAAUGUAUUAAUCCCAUAAGUAUCAUUCUUAAACCCUUGUUUCCAUUUCAAUACUGACAAAUUAUUUCACAUAAUGUUUGCAUUAUAUGGUUUAUAAUAUCAGUGACAAUGCAAUUAGUUGUAUGUUCAGUACCUAAAAAGAAGGGAUAGUUCCAAGAGACAUGAAGAGCCAGAGUUCAUAAGAUGAAGAUGAUUUAAAUGAUGGUUUGUCAAAGUACAUCUUCAUGCAGUCCCUGGUGAAAAUGUGGCUCACUUUGGAAUAAUCAGACAGACACAGCGAAGGGAGUUGUUUCCACUCUGAUGGAGGGACUGAAGGCUUUAGUGAUGUUGAUGUAAAUCAUUGUUGACACUUGCCUGAGGGAAAAGCUGGACUGACAGGACUGAACCUGGCCAAGUGUGACACCUGGCCAAGCCGAGAGCAACCUCACUCUGAGGCUGAGGUCACAACUGGGCAGCAAUGCAUUGAAAACACACACACACACACACACACACACAC
Molecule: long non-coding RNA, 8175 nt
Organism: Scophthalmus maximus (turbot)
Lineage: Eukaryota; Metazoa; Chordata; Actinopteri; Pleuronectiformes; Scophthalmidae
Exons: 3
Source: RefSeq, a predicted model, not a curated record